UGUAGACAUUGCAAAGAGAAAAAAGAUUCGGGCGUUCGUGCGCCCACGGCGGCGUUCGUGCGCCGGCACGAGAAACUUGUGUCCACUGUGUUCAUCUCCUUCCUUCUUUCUUGUUCGAGCGAGUGAGGAGAGGGAGAGGUAGCUAGGGUUGCCGUUUGGCAACAACAUUUGGUAUCAUGAGCUGGUUCAUCUUGGGCGUCGUUCUUCUUGCCGGAGGCGUGCCGGCGGUGGCGGAGUUCGCCGGCGGCUGCGCGAUGCUCCGGACCGUGUGGCGGCCUAUGGAGGUGCGCGGCGUGGCGAGGAGGCCGCGGUGGCUGCGGCGGCACGGUGAGGAGGCCGCGGAGGACCUGCGUGGUGGCGGCUUCAACGACGACGACGGCGCGGCGAGCGCGUCGUGGCGGCUCGGCGCGACAACGGUGGAGGCGCGUGGCACAGAGCCGCGGCGCUCGUGUCGGAUGUGUCAGGCGCGUGUAUGGGCGCGCGGCGGGACCGUGGUGUAGGGUGGCCAUUGGCGAGCGGGGGUGUGUGCAUUGAGCUGGUCCAUCGCGGGCUCGCCGCGCCCAAACGUGUGCGUGCAUGUCGGAGGGGGCGCGGGCAGAGCGGGCGGGACGGGCGCUCGACGUGAGCUGGGAUGUGGGUGCAUGCCCGGCGCAUCCCUAGGUAUAAAACCCCCCGUGUACAUUGUAAUGGCAGUGCCCGGAGUCGAGUUCGAGCUCGAGGGAAUCAAGGCCGUUGGUGCGCCAGGAAGAGAAGUUGCGGUGUGUGUCGCCGGAGAUGAAGAAGGGCGUUCUUCGUGGCAGUCGAGGAGAGGCCGGAGUCCUGUCAGGAUGGGCGGCGAGGUCGUGGCUUAGAGGGGAGAAUGUUAGGAAUAAGCCACGCAUGAGUAUGUGCUCGUGUGUGUGAUCUGUGUGCAUGGGUGUGCGUGUGUGCUCGUGGUAUGCGUGGCGUGGUGGUCAGCACGUGAGCUAGCUAGAUGGGCAUGGAUGCAUUUAUUAGUUGCGGUGUUUAGCUGGUUGUUAGCAGCGGCUGGUGGAGAUGGCCGCGUCAAGCGCGUAGCGCGCGUAGCGUGCGUGGCCUGGCUGAUCGUUUGCAUGCGGCGGAUAGCUAGCUGGAGAAACGUGGGCGUUGCGUUUGCUGUAGGACAACAAAGCUGCCGCCGUGGGUGUGUGUUUGUACUGAGUUGAGCACCAUGUAGACAUUGCAAAGAGAAAAAAGAUUCGGGCGUUCGUGCGCCGGCCCGAGAAACUUGUGUCCACUGUGUUCAUCUCCUUCCUUCUUUCUUGUUCGAGCGAGUGAGGAGAGGGAGAGGUAGCUAGGGUUGCCGUUUGGCAACAACAUUUGGUAUCAUGAGCUGGUUCAUCUUGGGCGUCGUUCUUCUUGCCGGAUGCGUGCCGGCGGUGGCGGAGUUCGCCGGCGGCUGCGCGAUGCUCCGGGCCGUGUGUCGGCCGAUGAAGGUGCGCGGCGUGGCGAGGAGGCCGCGGUGGCUGCGGCGGCACGGUGAGGAGGCCGCGGAGGACCUGCGUGGUGGCGGCUUCAACAACGACGACGUCACGGCGAGCGCGUCGUGGCGGCUCGGCGCGACAACGGUGGAGGCACGUGGCACAGAGCCGCGGCGCUCGUGUCGGAUGUGUCAGGCGCGUGUAUGGGCGCGCGGCGGGACCAUGGUGUAGGGUGGCCAUUGGCGAGCAGGGGUGUGCGCGUUGAGCUGGUCCAUCGCGGGCUCGCCGCACCCAGACGUGUGCGUGCAUGUCGGAGGGGGCGCGGGCAGAGCGGGCGGGACGGGCGCUCGACGUGAGCUGGGACGUGGGUGCAUGCCCGGCGCAUCCCUAGGUAUAAAACCCCCCGUGUACAUUGUAAUGGCAGUGCCCGGAGUCGAGUUCGAGCUCGAGGGAAUCAAGGCCGUUGGUGCGCCAGGAAGAGAAGCUGCGGUGUGUGUCGCCGGAGAUGAAGAAGGGCGUUCUUCGUGGCAGUCGAGGAGAGGCCGGAGUCCUGUCAGGAUGGGCAACGAGGUGGUGGCUUUGAGGGGAGAAUGUUAGGAAUAAGCCACGCAUGAGUAUGUGCUCGUGUGUGUGAUCUGUGUGCAUGGGUGUGCGUGUGUGUCGUGGUAUACGUGGCGUGGUGGUCAGCACGUCAGCUAGCUAGAUGGGCAUGGAUGCAUUUAUUAGUUGCGGCGUUUAGCAGGUUGUUAGCAGCGGCUGGUGGAGAUGGCCGCGUCAAGCGCGUAGCGUGCGUGGCCGGGCUGAUCGUUUGCAUGCAGCGGAUAGCUAGCUGGAGAAACGUGGGCGUUGCGUUUGCUGUAGGACUACAAAGCUGCCGCCGUGGGUGUGUGUUUGUAUUGAGUUGAGCACCAUGUAGACAUUGCAAAGAGAAAAAAGAUUCAGGCGUUCAUGCGCCCAGGGCGGCGUUCGUGCGCCGGCCCGAGAAACUUGUGUCCACUGUGUUCAUCUCCUUCCUUCUUUCUUGUUCGAGCGAGUGAGGAGAGGGAGAGGUAGCUAGGGUUGCCGUUUGGCAACAACAUUUGGUAUCAUGAGCUGGUUCAUCUUGGGCGUCGUUCUUCUUGCCGGAUGCGUGCCGGCGGUGGCGGAGUUCGCCGGCGGCUGCGCGAUGCUCCGGGCCGUGUGUCGGCCUAUGAAGGUGCGCGGCGUGGCGAGGAGGCCGCGGUGGCUGCGGCGGCACGGUGAGGAGGCCGCGGAGGACCUGCGUGGUGGCGGCUUCAACGACGACGACGGCGCGGCGAGCGCGUCGUGGCGGCUCGGCGCGACAACGGUGGAGGCACGUGGCACAGAGCCGCGGCGCUCGUGUCGGAUGUGUCAGGCGCGUGUAUGGGCGCGCGGCGGGACCGUGGUGUAGGGUGGCCAUUGGCGAGCGGGGGUGUGCGCGUUGAGCUGGUCCAUCGCGGGCUCGCCGCGCCCAGACGUGUGCGUGCAUGUCGGAGGGGGCGCGGGCAGAGCGGGUGGGACGGGCGCUCGACGUGGGCUGGGACGUGGGUGCAUGCCCGGCGCGUCCCUGGGUAUAAAACCCCCCGUGUACAUUGUAAUGGCAGUGCCCGGAGUCGAGUUCGAGCUCGAGGGAAUCAAGGCCGUUGGUGCGCCAGGAAGAGAAGCUGCAGUGUGUGUCGCCGGAGAUGAAGAAGGGCGUUCUUCGUGGCAGUCGAGGAGAGGCCGGAGUCCUGUCAGGAUGGGCGGCGAGGUCGUGGCUUAGAGGGAAGAAUGUUAGGAAUAAGCCACGCAUGAGUAUGUGCUCGUGUGUGUGAUCUGUGUGCAUGGGUCUGCGUGUGUGCUCGUGGUAUGCGUGGUUUGCUGGUCAGCACGUGAGCUAGCUAGAUGGGCAUGGAUGCAUUUAUUAGUUGCAGUGUUUAGCAGGUUGUUAGCAGCGGCCGAUGGAGAUGGCCGCGUCAAGCGCGUAGCGCGCGUAGCGUGCAUGGCCGGGCUGAUCGUUUGCAUGCAGCGGAUAGCUAGCUGGAGAAAUGUGGGCGUUGCGUUUGCUGUAGGACUACAAAGCUGCCGCCGUGGGUAUGUGUUUGUACUGAGUUGAGCACCAUGUAGACAUUGCAAAGAGAAAAAAGAUUCGGGCGUUCUUGCGCCCACGGCGGCGUUCGUGCGCCG
This 3605-nucleotide long non-coding RNA is filed under the name Triticum aestivum (bread wheat). Its description in RNAcentral is "long non-coding RNA (TAES_LNC024494)". Lineage: Eukaryota; Viridiplantae; Streptophyta; Magnoliopsida; Poales; Poaceae. The record is from RNAcentral.